CUUAACUCUCCUCCAAAAUUCCAAAAUAGAAAAUACCCAAUUUCGCUAAGCUGGUCCAAGAUGACUACUUGACUAGUACGACAUUUUAUUUAGCUACGAUACUUUUCCAUCCCUUAUUAAAAUUAAUACAAGUAGAAUAUUAGCAAGAAUUAGCUGUUUAAAUGGGAAACUAUUCAUUCAAGUUGAUUAAAUUUUGCCUAUAUUUGACCAAAAAAUCAAUUUAUCUAAAUUGAAAAAUUAGAAGAAAAUCACGUGUGCCACGCUACAAAUAACCAAUCCCCUCAAAAUCCUUACCAUAUUCCCCUCUUUUCUUCUUCUUUCUCUCUUUCUCUGUUCUUCUCAUUGACCUUUAUUACAGGUUAAACAUCGCCGUUAAUUGACCAAGGGUUGAGCUUGGACUGAUCUGUUCUAUUGAAAUGUCUGCAGCACAAGCACUACUGUAUCAAAACUUGAUGGCUGAGAAGAUGCCUACUAAGGAUAGUAUUGCAGAUUCAACUCGGGAAUCACUCAUCGCUUUAUCAAACUCUUUACCUGAUAAGAUUUCUAAUUCACCUGAUAAGUUCCCUAAUUCACCUCAUUCUUCAGAGAAGGUCACCUAUGUUGGUAAUACAGUAAAUGAAAAGGAUGGUACCGUGGACUAUUGGUCUGAACUAAUUUCAUUGUCCUACCCAACACCUGAUGCUGAUUCGGUACCUCAAGUUAAAAGUUAGCUGCAAGAUGGUGUAUUAUAUAGGUCUAUAAUAACUGACCGAAAACAGAAUACUAAUCUCACAUGUUGAUGUGUUGGAUAUUGUAAGUUACCUGCUAAUUGCCUAUACAUAAAAGGCAGGGUUUUCCUGCUUUGUUCUGGUAAUCACAAGUGAUUCGAUUGUCUUCUGUGCUUCAAAUAAUCAAAUGUAAUAUUAGUAUAUGUCUCCACUUGAAAUUAUGUAUUCAUGAUCAAUGCUCAGGUGAUCUCUUGUAAAUCAAGGAAAUGCACUGCCAAGUUCUGAACAGAAACUGC
This is a long non-coding RNA of Chenopodium quinoa (quinoa), 1003 nucleotides long. RefSeq lists it as uncharacterized. The transcript is spliced from 2 exons. Lineage: Eukaryota; Viridiplantae; Streptophyta; Magnoliopsida; Caryophyllales; Amaranthaceae. The record is from RefSeq and is a predicted model, not a curated record.